This is a non-coding RNA of Bradyrhizobium sp. Leaf396, 77 nucleotides long. Lineage: Bacteria; Pseudomonadati; Pseudomonadota; Alphaproteobacteria; Hyphomicrobiales; Nitrobacteraceae. The record is from Rfam.
CACACAGAUGGGGAUGGAGUCCCCCGACAACCGCCCGGCGGUCGAUGACCUCGUGGGCUGAUGACUCCUGCUUGAGG